Molecule: transfer RNA, 70 nt
Filed under: Chelodina expansa
Lineage: Eukaryota; Metazoa; Chordata; Testudines; Chelidae
Description: tRNA-Pro
Rfam family: tRNA
About the family: Transfer RNA (tRNA) molecules are approximately 80 nucleotides in length.
Source: RNAcentral
CAAUAGGUGGUUUAAUUUAGAAUCCCGGUUUUGGGGACCGGGGAUGGGAGUUUGAGUCUCUCCCUUUUGA